CUCCUGCGGGGCGCAGCAGCCGCGGUAAUACGUAGGGAGCGAGCGUUAUCCGGAUUUAUUGGGUGUAAAGGGUGCGUAGACGGGAAAAUAAGUUAGUUGUGAAAUCCCUCGGCUCAACUGAGGAACUGCAACUAAAACUAUUUUUCUUGAGUGCAGGAGAGGAAAGUGGAAUUCCUAGUGUAGCGGUGAAAUGCGUAGAUAUUAGGAGGAACACCAGUGGCGAAUGCGACUUUCUGGACUGUAACUGACGUU
This 252-nucleotide ribosomal RNA is filed under the name uncultured bacterium. RNAcentral describes it as "partial 16S ribosomal RNA". It matches the Rfam family "Bacterial small subunit ribosomal RNA", at positions 498 to 747 of the family's 1533-position model. The record is from RNAcentral.